Molecule: long non-coding RNA, 1349 nt
Filed under: Cricetulus griseus (Chinese hamster)
Lineage: Eukaryota; Metazoa; Chordata; Mammalia; Rodentia; Cricetidae
Description: lncRNA (ENSCGRG00015036921.1)
Source: RNAcentral
AAGAGCUUCUCUGGACAGAAGUGAACACUGGAAAUUUCUAGAAGCAGUUUCGAGGCUGAGCUCUGAAAGAGGAGCCAUUGGUCUACACUUUGAAGAUGGGGUGAUAUUGAACAUGCCACUCACCGGGGUACCCUGUCCAAUUGCUGCUGCUGGAGAACUAGAAACCAUACGUGAGUGUUGACCACAUAGCCUUGCACCAUCCAGCUCGGCUUCUGGAGAACUAGGGACCACAUAGCCUUGCACCAUCCAGCUUGGUAGUUACUAGCCCUAUGUAUUGCUUUACAUGUAUUUUAUUUUCCUUGCUUUUUUAUCUUGUAAUCUGAUCAACCCAUUAGAAUUUGGAAAUUUUAGCAAAAGCAACCCAAGUCCUGAGUUUGUCCGUUUGUUUAGCUCAUGUCAAAAGGGGAAAUGGGAAAUUGGUUUCAUGGCAAUAGAAGGACAGGGAGAUGGUCUUAGGAACUGCAGACUUCAGGGACUCAAAUGAUGUCACGGCCACAAUUUAUCAUCGCCGUGAUACCCCCUUCUUGACUUUCUGGGCCCUGCGUAGUUUUUACUUGUACACUGGCUUCCUCUCCGAGCAAGACAUCUGACCUCUGGAGGCUUGCAUGGCUGUCUCCCUCCUCUGGGUCUGUUCCUUCCUUCAGGGAAAAGGGAGGGAGGAGUGGGGAGGGGGGCAGAGAGGAGGGAAGAGAAAGGCUUAUAAGCCUCGGGAAACUUAAUAAGGCUCCGGAGUUGAGGUUCCCCUCCACCCACAAGUUGCACAGAGAGCUCCGAGCUCCUCCGGUGACUCAGCUUUUGUGAGUCAUCACCCAUGCUAGGUGACAAAUAUUCCUGAGUCACCCCCACUCCUGUUAAGCGACCAUUAUUAAACUUAUUGGUUCAUCAAGCUGAACUUGGGAGGGGCCAUUCGUUGGGCUCUGUUGUUGGUGCCCUGACUUGGGUGCACGGAUAUUUGUUCAUGUCUCCCAAAGUCUUGGACUGAUUAACACACUCACCGUUGUCAUUUCUGGGGUCCCACGGCCACCCACGUGGCCAUCAGCAUUCAGACAAAAUGUCCAGUCAUCCCAGGUGCUGGCCUUUCUGGGGCUAGCCGUGCCUGCGCCAUCAACGUUCAUCCCAGGGACUUAUGGCCAUGUAAUGGAUGGGUGGCGUGAGUACAUAAGCCCCCAUACGCAUGCGCUAAGUGACCUUUAGAAGCAGAUACGCCCUACCCACUCUCUCCAUGUUUCUUCCAGACAGGCGUGUGCACACACCCUCUGCCUACUUUUUACUAAUAAAACUAUUAAGUGGGUUUUGUUGUCUCUCUUGUGGUGUGUUCGCGCACACAGUAAGUAAUACCAUCUCCACAG